UAACCUAAUUUAUAUCUUCAUCUCUCCACACCCGACAUUCACCACUCAUCUUGUUCCAGCACAGAUAGAGAGAGAGCGAGAGAGAGAUUUCUUAGAAGAUGUUGUCAGAUUCAAAUAUGGGUCUACACCAACGAAUGCGAGAAACCCAUAUUCGACUUGGUCUAGUCAUGGUGAAGAUGAGACGAUUAAGAACGGAGAAGAAGAUUGGUUGACAAAAUUUCAGAAAUUGUAAAGAUGUGGUUUUUUGCGAUUUGAUCUGGUUUGGUAAGAUAUUAUGGAUCUAAGAGGAGUUGCAGCGGUGGUGACGUGAAGAAGAUCAGAGAUAAUUUCUACCCCUUAAUCCUGUGUUGACAACUCAGAUGCAGCUGAAGCAUGAGCAGAAGUAAAAGGGUGUUGAAGAGUCAUUACUUUAACGAAAAUGGAUAAGAGAGCCAGAAAAUGCUAGGCCACAAGGUUAGGUUUUUUGUUUUUAUAGUUAUACUGUGUUACUAAACAAUACCUUGAAACUCUUGGCUAGAGAGUCCGCUUCCUAUCAAUUUGACAUGGACACUAUUGAAGUCAGUAACCUGAAUAGGCAAUUUCUAUUCCGUCCUUCUCAUGUUGGGCACUCCAAGGCUAAGGUAUGCUCUUGCGUUUUCACUAAGUCCAAGGGAAUCCAGUUCAUAAGAGAGUUCAUGUGACCAUAUAGAAUCAAAGUUGUUAACCAAAGUGGUUUGGGUUUUUGGGUUUGUUAAAUCCAGUUUAGGAGGUAUAUGUGAGCGACCUAAGCUCAUUCUCCCUCGCUUCAAGGUAUAUUUUAGCUGAUUUCUCUCUGAUGGUGUCAUUAAGCAACCUGAGUUCAUUCUCCCUCGCCUUAAGUUCCUUAAGAGAUGCUUCCAUCAGCUCAGCUUCCUUUCUCCUUGUCUCGGUCUCUACGGUUUGCGUCUGGUCAAAAUCUUUAACAUUCAUCUCAAAAGCAAAACACUUCUCAUAUGGGGAAAGCAAAGCAACCUCCUUUUCCAUAGCUUCAAGCUCAGCCAUUAACCUUUGAUGUUUCUGCAUUUCCUCCAUGAUACCUCCAAUAUUUACUUUUUUUUUUAGUAGUACGAUGUAUUUUUAUUUUUAAUUAUGUUUUUAGUUUUAUUUUAUAAUACAG
Camelina sativa (false flax) is the source of this 1135-nucleotide non-coding RNA. Lineage: Eukaryota; Viridiplantae; Streptophyta; Magnoliopsida; Brassicales; Brassicaceae. The record is from RefSeq and is a predicted model, not a curated record.